RNAcentral lists this ribosomal RNA (507 nucleotides) under uncultured Bacteroidota bacterium. Its description in RNAcentral is "SSU rRNA". It matches the Rfam family "Bacterial small subunit ribosomal RNA", at positions 242 to 746 of the family's 1533-position model. The record is from RNAcentral. Lineage: Bacteria; Pseudomonadati; Bacteroidota.
CAGGUAGUUGGCGGGGUAACGGCCCACCAAGCCUGCGAUCAGUAACUGGUGUGAGAGCACGACCAGUCACACGGGCACUGAGACACGGGCCCGACUCCUACGGGAGGCAGCAGUAAGGAAUAUUGGUCAAUGGACGCAAGUCUGAACCAGCCAUGCCGCGUGGAGGAUUAAGGCCCUCUGGGUUGUAAACUCCUUUUAUCUGGGAAGAAAUCCAUAUAUUCUUAUAUGGUUGACGGUACCAGAGGAAUAAGCACCGGCUAACUCCGUGCCAGCAGCCGCGGUAAUACGGAGGGUGCAAGCGUUAUCCGGAUUCACUGGGUUUAAAGGGUGCGUAGGCGGGUAAGUAAGUCCGUGGUGAAAUCUCUGAGCUUAACUCAGAAACUGCCGUGGAUACUAUUUGCCUUGAAUAUUGUGGAGGUGAGCGGAAUAUGUCAUGUAGCGGUGAAAUGCUUAGAUAUGACAUAGAACACCAAUUGCGAAGGCAGCUCACUACACAGUCAUUGACGC